GGGGUAACGGCCCACCAAGGCGACGAUCAGUAGCCGGACUGAGAGGUUGAACGGCCACAUUGGGACUGAGACACGGCCCAGACUCCUACGGGAGGCAGCAGUGGGGAAUAUUGCGCAAUGGGGGCAACCCUGACGCAGCAACGCCGCGUGAUUGAAGAAGGCCUUCGGGUUGUAAAGAUCUUUAAUCAGGGACGAAAUUUGACGGUACCUGAAGAAUAAGCUCCGGCUAACUAC
This 234-nucleotide ribosomal RNA is filed under the name uncultured bacterium. RNAcentral's name for it is "partial 16S ribosomal RNA". It matches the Rfam family "Bacterial small subunit ribosomal RNA", at positions 254 to 504 of the family's 1533-position model. The record is from RNAcentral.